RNA transcript from Hevea brasiliensis (rubber tree), 2129 nucleotides. It is a transcript of the gene named protein FLX-like 3, with no coding region annotated. The record is from RefSeq and is a predicted model, not a curated record. Lineage: Eukaryota; Viridiplantae; Streptophyta; Magnoliopsida; Malpighiales; Euphorbiaceae. The transcript is spliced from 6 exons.
UUGGAGCAACUUGUAAUUUACCAUUAAAAAACAGGAAAACGCCCCCUGGGAACCUAGCUGAGCGAACAAGCAGUGAGGUUUUUUCUCGUUGUUGGAAGAACAUCGAUCAAAGCUCCUCUCAAAUAUCAUCUCUAUCCUCUUUUCACAGUGAGGUUGUAAAAGCUUCAUAGAGGCACAUAGUUACCAUAUUCAGCUGGAAGCAUCUUUAUAUAGAAUAUCAUCAUUUCUUUGCUCCACCUGUCUUUUUGAUAGCAACUUAAAAUGGCUGGGAGAAAUCGUAUUCCUCGUGAGGCCUAUAAUGAACGUCGUGGCUUCCCCCCAGAGAGACCUUUAAUUCGCGGCCCUCCUUUGCCACAUCCACCUCCUCAUCGUACAUUGUUGGAGGAUGAACUUGAAAUACAACAUGCUGAAAUCCAUGGGCUCCUGGUUGAUAAUCGCCGGCUGAUUGAAGAUCGAAUGGCUCUACAGCAAGAGCUUGGUGCUGCCAAGGAGGAACUUCAUCGCAUGAAUCUUGUCAUAGCUGAAAUUCGUACAGAAUAUGAAGUGCACUCGAGGGAGCUUAUUGAAAAGGGCUUGAAGCUGGAGGCUGAUCUUCGUGCUACUGAACCUUUGAAGAAUGAGGCUGUACAACUCCGUGCAGAAGUUCAGAAACUGAAUAAUGUAAAGAAGGAACUCCUUGGGGAAAUUCAGACCCUCAAACAAGAACUUGCAAGAUCACAAGCUGAUAACCAACAGAUUCCUGUUUUGCAGGGUGAGAUUGAGGGCCUGCACCAGGAGCUUAUGCAUGCUAGAACUGCUAUUGAUUAUGAAAAGAAGGCAAACAUUGAGUUGGUGGAGCAGAGACAGGCAAUGGAGAAGAACAUGAUUUCUAUGGCACGUGAAGUUGAAAAGCUACGGGCUGAACUUGCUAGUGCUGAUGCUCGACCCUGGGUUACUGGUGGGCCAUAUGGGAUGAAGUUCGGUAAUCCAGAGAGGGGAAUUCCUGCACCUUAUGGGGAUCGAUAUGGGGUUCAUGUGGUUGCUGCUGACAAGGGUCCUUUGUAUGGCCCUGGUCCUGCUUCAUGGGAUAAGACCCAUAUGCCUCGUCGUUGAGAUGGUUGCUGUUCAAAUUUAAAAGGGCAAAGUUGUUAUUGUGGCUGCCUAUUAUCCUGUUGAAUAUCUCAGUAGGCGAGAAGUACCUUUCAUCUUUGUGUGCAUGCCAACCAGUACUCUUUUAUCUGAAUACAUUAUUGAAAACUGGUUGUGAAGGCAGAGAAAGUCAGGUAUUUUCUUUUUUUUAUUACUAUUCCUUUUUUUUUUAUACCAGCCCUUCCACCUAGGAGUGAGCUGUAUUCGGCUCAGACCAAAAUAACCAACCGAACCGAAUAAAUUCAGAAUUUGUUUCGGUUUAUUUGAAAAAUCGAUUUGGUUUCGAUUUUUAAAAUUUGCAGUUUAUUCAAUUUGGUUCGGCUUUUAAAGAUGAAAAAAAUUGGUCGAACCAAACUGAGCCAAAAUAAAUAUUAUUUAAAAAGUCCUAUUAUUCUUAUGUAGCAUGUGGCUUAGUGGCUAAGAGGUGAUAUAAACCCGACAAGUUCUAGUCUUGCAAUCUGCAUCAUGCUUUUUUGUUUUAACAACUUAACUUUCUAAAUAAAUAACGUCUGUCCAUUUAAAAAGAUUUGAGCCGAUAAAUCAUUAUUAUAUAUUUAUAAGUUUCUCACUUCUUAUUCUCAGAAAACCUUAGCCACCCAUGCCUAACGCCACCUCUGUUCAUCUCCCUCUUCUCCCUUCUUUUCCUCUCUUCUACUCCUCUUCGUUUCAUCUUAUUUUUGUCCUCAUUUCGCCGCAUAGAAAUUAGAAAGGCCAUUGACGCCGCUGCCAUAGAGAAAGGCCAUCGAUGCCGCUGCACCUCAUUUCUGUUCUUCUAUUCUUUGUGUUCUUCAAGGGAUUUGGAGGACCUUUGAGGUCUACAGUGUCAGUUUAUUUGCGAGAGAUUUGAAGGACCUAUAGUCUGCGUCCAUGUUUAGAUUCGGAGGAUCAACAGUUCUUGGUUGUUUUGAUUUACUGAAUUUUGAGAUGUGUAUUUAGUUGUUAUGCUGAUAAUUUAUCAGGGCCUAUUUGACAACUCUUUUAACUAUUUUCCUAUUUUAUAA